Molecule: non-coding RNA, 1822 nt
Organism: Dermochelys coriacea (leatherback sea turtle)
Lineage: Eukaryota; Metazoa; Chordata; Testudines; Dermochelyidae
Source: the annotation of a RefSeq genome assembly
UCGAGUCUCCAGCUCCGGGCCGCAGCCAGAGCCGAGAGCAGGGGCAGCCCCGGCCUGCCUGCGUGGUUAGCACCACAGUCACUCAGCGGAGGAGACCAGCGCCAGCAGGAAAGGAGCUGCCUAUGUAUUUAAGGCAUCACCUCCCUGAAUGCAUCCGAUGAAGUGAGCUGUAGCUCACGAAAGCUUAUGCUCUAAUAAAUUUGUUAGUCUCUAAGGUGCCACAAGUACUCCUUUUCUUUUUGCGAAUACAGACUAACACGGCUGCUACUCUGAAACCUCCCUGAGUAAAACCUCUCCCUCCCAGCUCCUCUUCACUGCUGGGGAAGGCGAGGAAAAAGCUUCCUUCUUGGGCUGUGGAGGGAAGUUUCCAUCCUACUUCAUCCCUGAAAUAUGUUCCUGCCCUGGGUGUCUAUUCUUACACUACUUCCGAUUCUGGGAGCUAAGGGAGAGUCAGUGACACAACCUGAUGACAGAGUGACAGUAUCCCAAGGGGAACCAGUGCUGCUGAAAUGCAUCUAUAAUACCACCUUGAUUCCGACGCUCUGGUGGUACGAGCAGUACCCAAAUGAAGCCCCUCGCCUCUUGCUGACACAAUAUGAAGCAUUGGAUGAGGAGGACAGAAGGAGCCGGCGAGGGUUCUCCGCCACACCCGACAAACAGGGGAAGACUUUCCACCUAAAGAAAAGCGCCAGUGAACUUCGCGACUCAGCCGUCUACUACUGCGCGAUGAGAGACACAGUGACCGCACCCAGCAGGGCCGCUGCGCAAAAACCUGCUGGGGCAAAAGGAAGCGGCACUGAAGAUCUGUGGGUUCGAGCCCCAGAAGAACAGACUUUUCACAGCGCCAUUGGAGUCAGUGAAUCCCAUCCCCAUGGUGUAAAUGUGCGUAGCUUCACGGGAGUCAACGGGCCAGAUCCCAAACAGUUGGGAGUGGUUGGAGCUCAAUGGAAGCAAAUGAUCCAGUUCCUCAAAAUGUUUUAAAAUCAAUGAGGAAUUGCAUAGGAGUCAGCUGAGCUGCACUGGUUCCUAUCUGCUGUGGAUCCGAGCCAUUAAAAUAGGACAUUGGGGUCUCUAAAAAAUUGAAAAGUUCCACAUUCCUAGAGGAAACAGUAUAUACAUCUCAUUUAAUUUUUCCAACAAUUUCUGCCUCCCAUAACUGCCCUUGUGUCUAUUGUGUGAAGGUUUUGCUGGUUUCAGAAAUGCAGUGAUCCAGAAAUUGAAGUGAAGUCAGGAAAGAUAGAAAUACUGGAAUUACAGGUGUGGAGUAGACCAGACAGCCGUCUAGCACAGUAUUUCUCUCCGACUGUAGUUACCACCCACACCUUCAGAAGAAGGUGAAAGGAACUCUGGAGGGGGUAGUUAUGAGGUAACUUCCCUUGUAGGAGGUUUUCCCCUAGCCUUGUGCAAUUGUAUAUAGAUUUAUGUCUUGAAGAAAGAUUUCCUUCACCUUCCAAUUUUUAGAGUCCUUUUAAAAUAAAUUCUGAAAGUUUAUGUUUAAAAACUCUAAUAACAUCCCAAGGUUUAUUUAUCCUGGCAUGCUUACUUAUAUCUACACUACAUGUCUACACCAUGAAAUUAGGUCAAUUUUAUAGAAGUCCAUCUUUAGCAACUGAUAUUAUACAGUUGAUCAUGCAUGUCCCCACUAAGUGCAUUAGGUCCACAGAGUGUGUCCUUAAUACCAUGGGAAGCAUCGACUCACGGAGUGGUGCACUAUGGGUAGCUAUCCCACAGUCCCUGCUGCCCAUUGGAAUUCUGGAUUAAGCUCCCAAUGCCUGAUAGUGCAAAAACCUUGUUGCAGGUGGUUUUGGGCAUAUGUGUCAGU